UGAGUUCCCGGUAACUGGCUGUUGAACCCCGCGACGACGGCUGCCGGAACAUCCCCAUUGUUCUGCUGGAAAUGUACUAGUCCUCUAGGGAAAGCAAACACUUCACCUUUUACAAUAUGUUUUGUAAUCAAAACAUUAGAUGUUGUAAUAAAGCCAACGUCUAAUUCACCCUCUAAUACAAAAAUCAUUUCAGUGGCACGAGGAUGAGUGUGAGGUGGGUUAAUUCCACCAGGGGCAUAGUCGAUACGAGCCAUCGACACACCAAGUGUGUUAAGACCAGGGACUUUCAUGACAUUUGCACCUGUCACUACAGAACCAAAUGUAUUGUUUGUUGCUCCUGCCUUUGCUAUUGCCAUUGAUGAAAAGUCUAUUUCUGAAAAGUUCUUCUUGCAAAGAUAACCGUUUAC
Molecule: long non-coding RNA, 407 nt
Organism: Solanum stenotomum
Lineage: Eukaryota; Viridiplantae; Streptophyta; Magnoliopsida; Solanales; Solanaceae
Exons: 2
Source: RefSeq, a predicted model, not a curated record